Long non-coding RNA from Triticum aestivum (bread wheat), 2266 nucleotides. RefSeq lists it as uncharacterized. The transcript has 4 exons. Lineage: Eukaryota; Viridiplantae; Streptophyta; Magnoliopsida; Poales; Poaceae. The record is from RefSeq and is a predicted model, not a curated record.
AGGAUAGUUACUCUAAGCUACAACCACUUGCCAUCUCAUCUCAAGUCAUGCUUUUUGUAUCUAAGCAUCUUUCCUGAGGAUUCUGAAAUCAAAAGGAGGCGUUUGGUGGAGAGAUGGAUAGCCGAGGGGUUUGUUAGAGCAAGGGCUGGGGUGAACAUUGAGGAUGUGGGAGAUGGUUACUUUAAUGAGCUAAUCAACCGUAGCAUGAUUCAACCUUCCAGUGUGAACGUAGAAGGAAUAGUUAAGAGUUGUCGAGUCCUUGAUAUUGUGCGUGAUGUCAUGGUCUCAAUUUCCAGAGAUGAAAAUUUUGUGUAUGUGCCAGAAGAUAAUGUAACUAGUGUCGCACAAGAGACAUUUCGUCAUGUAGCAUACCAUGGUAGUAAGUUCCAAAAUAAUGGCAUGGAUUGGGGCCAUGUCCGGUCAUUAACCAUAUUUAGCGAGAGACCAUUGGAAUCUCCACUUUGUUCACCUAAGGCAAGAAUGCUCAGAGCCUUGGAUCUAGAGAAUUCACAGUUUGAAGUCACACAAAAAGACAUCAGUAACAUUGGAUUGCUAUGCCACCUUAAGUAUGUGAAUUUAUCUAAUCCUCAAGGAUGUUCAUAUAUUUAUAAAAUUCCUAGAUCCAUAGGAAAAUUACAAGGCUUGUGUACUUUGAACAUAAGAAACAGUUAUAUUACCGAAACGCCAACUAAGAUAAGUAAACUCAAGAGUCUACACAGUCUCCGUUGUACCAGAAAUAUUUCCUGCGAACGCUUUGACUUGGAAGGCCUCAGGAAUGCUUGCUGAAGUCAUUAUGUUUGCCCAUGAUGUUCACACCUUUGGUUGAUCCUAGUGAGCAUGCUGAGUUAGUUGCUGAUCUACACAUGACCUGGUCUAGCCGUUGGUCAGAGUCAUAUGGUGUGAGGGUGCCAAAAGGAAUUGGCAAACUAAAAGAGCUACAAAUACUAGAGGUUGUGGACAUUGGACGAACUGGAUGCAAAACAAUUAAAGAGCUAGGUGAGCUUGUGCAGCUGAGAAAACUAAGCAUGGUAAUAGAAGGGGCCACCAAGCGAAAAUUCAAGGUACUUUGUGAAUCCAUUACGAAGCUCACUUCCCUCCGCUCUCUUGAAGUGGACGGUUCACUCAAGUGGCUGCAUGUUGUUUCCUGUCCUCCUCCCCAGUUGAGGACCCUGAAGUUGGGUGGAUGCCUUGGAGAUAUUCCUGGCUGGUUUGGCAAUCUGAUGCAUUUAGUCAAGCUUUACUUAUGGGAUUCCAAACUAAAGGAAGAAGGAAAAAAUCAUGGAAAUACUAGGUUCACUUCCCAGCCUCAUGAAACUUCGUCUUGGACUGGACUCUUAUAUUGGGGAGAAGUUAGCGUUCAAAACAGGAGCAUUUGCAAAUCUCAAGAAACUUGAUAUUUCUGUUACGGCGAAACUGAGAGAGAUGAAAUUUGAGGAUGGCACCUCACCCAAGCUGCAAAUUAUAAGUAUCGACGUAUGCUACUUGAGAUCAGGAGUGAUUGGUAUCAACCACCUUCCAAGGCUCAAGGAGAUCUCACUUGGCUACGAAGCUCAUGUGGCGAAGCUUGUUAUGCUGCAAAGUGAAGUGGAGGCGCACCCCAAUAGUCCCUUGCUGCGACUGUAUACGCAACGGAGCCACCACGACCUGGGGGACAUCAUCGUCCAAGUGGAAGAAGCAACGGGGGAAUCAUCAUCUCUCCAUCCUGGGACUGCAGCAGUGGGAGAGAGCUCACGAUCCUAGGUGAUGGCCAUAGCCAUGACAAGUGUCAGCCAAGAUGAUCUGCUUUACACUUACAACUCGUGCUGACUAAAUCGGAGCAAGGCUACUUCCAGUUCCACCAUGUAACACUAUGCUGUUUGUGUCCAAGCAUUUUUAAGCUGCAUAUGCUUAUAUAUAGCAGAAGCAUGGAUUAGUUGAGGAGUUGAGUUGGGCCCAAUGGCGUUCAACAUUGUAUUCAGAACGCUGGGCGCGUAGGAGACGAGGAUGAUCCAAUCUCUCAGGCAGAAUUAACGGUUGGACCUGGUGGCUUCGAUGACAAUGAACUCUUAACUGUAAAUUCAUCAACUUGAUGUCAAAUCCUAUUUUGCUGGACUAAAUCAGCUUCGGGUUACAGCUGGAAUAUCAAUUGACUGUGUCUUGCACUGUUCAUCACAUAAUCUCUUGGUAAUUAUCAGUAGAGUAUUGUUCACUAGUAGUCUCCCUGGGGGACGCGUACAAGUGGAAAAAGCAAUGACGGAGAGAGCUCCUUGCAGCUGCCCAUGACAAG